GGGGGGGGGGGGCGGGGGGCCGGGGGGAGGCGGGGCGGGGGGGGAGGCGGGGAGCGGGCGCCGCGGGCGUGGGCGGCGGGCGGGUGAGUAACACGUGGAUAACCUACCUAUAAGACUGGGAUAACUUCGGGAAACCGGAGCGAAUACCGGAUAAUAUAUUGAACCGCAUGGUUCAAUAGUGAAAGACGGUUUUGCUGUCACUUAUAGAUGGAUCCGCGCCGCAUUAGCUAGUUGGUAAGGUACCGGCUUACCAAGGCAACGAUGCGUAGCCGACCUGAGAGGGUGAUCGGCCACACUGGAACUGAGACACGGUCCAGACUCCUACGGGAGGCAGCAGUAGGGAAUCUUCCGCAAUGGGCGAAAGCCUGACGGAGCAACGCCGCGUGAGUGAUGAAGGUCUUCGGAUCGUAAAACUCUGUUAUUAGGGAAGAACAAAUGUGUAAGUAACUAUGCACGUCUUGACGGUACCUAAUCAGAAAGCCACGGCUAACUACGUG
RNAcentral lists this ribosomal RNA (497 nucleotides) under uncultured bacterium. RNAcentral's name for it is "partial 16S ribosomal RNA". It matches the Rfam family "Bacterial small subunit ribosomal RNA", at positions 38 to 507 of the family's 1533-position model. The record is from RNAcentral.